Molecule: ribosomal RNA, 468 nt
Filed under: uncultured bacterium
Lineage: Bacteria
Description: partial 16S ribosomal RNA
Rfam family: Bacterial small subunit ribosomal RNA
Source: RNAcentral
GACGAACGCUGGCGGCGUGCCUAACACAUGCAAGUCGAACGGAAAGGCCCUGCUUUUGUGGGGUGCUCGAGUGGCGAACGGGUGAGAAACACGCGAGUAUCCUGCCCCUGACUUUGGGAUAACUUCAGGAAACUGGGGCUAAUAUCGGAUAGGAGCUCCUGCUGCAUGGUGGGGGCUGGAAAGUUUCGGCGGUUGGGGAUGGACUCGCGGCUUAUCAGCUUGUUGGCGGGGUAGGGGCUUACCAAGGCUUUGACGGGUAGCCGGCCUGGGAGGGUGACCGGCCACAUUGGGACUGAGAUACGGCCCAGCCUCCUACGGGACGCAACGGUGGAGAGUAUUACACAAUAGGCUGGAGCCUGAUGCAGCAGCGCCGCGUGCGGGAUGACGGCCUUCGGGUUGUGAACCGCUGUCGCCUGUGACGAGGCGUGAGUGACGGUAAUGGGUAAAGAAGCACCGGCUAACUACGUG